Molecule: ribosomal RNA, 301 nt
Filed under: uncultured bacterium
Lineage: Bacteria
Description: partial 16S ribosomal RNA
Rfam family: Bacterial small subunit ribosomal RNA
Source: RNAcentral
CAGUAGCCACGGUAAUACGAAAGGUCCAAGCGUUACUCGGAAUUACUGGGCGUAAAGCGCGCGUAGGCGGUCUUGUAUGUCGAUUAUGAAAGCCCCGGGCUCAACCUGGGAACUGCAGUCGAAACUGCAAGACUUGAAUGUUGGAGAGGUUGGGGGAAUACCUAGUGGAGAAGUGAAAUUCGUAGAGAUUAGGUGGAACACCAGAGGCGAAGGCGCCUGACUGGCCAAACAUUGACGCUAAGGCGCGAAAGCGUGGGUAGCAAACAGGAUUAGAUACCCGCGUAGUCCCUGUCUCUUAUAC